UAAUUGAUGAAUGCUGGAGUCAUAGAUGUU
RNAcentral lists this non-coding RNA (30 nucleotides) under Mus musculus (house mouse). The record is from RNAcentral. Lineage: Eukaryota; Metazoa; Chordata; Mammalia; Rodentia; Muridae.